GAUGAAGAACGCAGCGAAAUGCGAUAAGUAAUGUGAAUUGCAGAAUUCAGUGAAUCAUCGAAUCUUUGAACGCACAUUGCGCCCCCUGGUAUUCCGGGGGGCAUGCCUGUUCGAGCGUCAUUUCACCACUCAAGCCUCGCUUGGUAUUGGGCGACGCGGUCCGCCGCGCGCCUCAAAUCGACCGGCUGGGUCUUCCGUCCCCUCAGCGUUGUGGAAACUAUUCGCUAAAGGGUGCCGCGGGAGGUCACGCCGCAAAACAACCCCAUUUCUAAGGUUGACCUCGGAUCAGGUAGGGAUACCCGCUGAACUUAAGCAUAUCAAUAAGCGAGGA
RNAcentral lists this unclassified non-coding RNA (331 nucleotides) under soil metagenome. RNAcentral describes it as "partial contains 5.8S ribosomal RNA, internal transcribed spacer 2, and large subunit ribosomal RNA". The stretch from base 1 to 120 matches the Rfam family "5.8S ribosomal RNA", at positions 35 to 154 of the family's 154-position model. The record is from RNAcentral.